This is a non-coding RNA of Hydra vulgaris (swiftwater hydra), 225 nucleotides long. The record is from RefSeq and is a predicted model, not a curated record. NCBI's taxonomy places the organism in Eukaryota, Metazoa, Cnidaria, Hydrozoa, Anthoathecata, Hydridae.
GUUUUUCAAUGCAUGGUUUACUCAUUAAAAAAUGAUGCAUUUGUUUUGAUUAUUACACUUCUGAUGUUGUUUAUCUUUGCUUGUAUUGGAGUGCAGCUUUUUCAGGGAAAACUUUACCAUUGUACUGACUCAAGUAAAAGUAAUGAAGUAGAUUGCAAAGGCAGUUAUUAUGAGUUUUCAAAUUCUGAAACUGACAACAUAAUAAAAACUAUAAAAAAGGUAAAU